AACGAACGCUGGCGGCAUGCCUUACACAUGCAAGUCGAACGCGAAAGUGUCUUCGGACAUUAGUAGAGUGGCAAACGGGUGAGUAACGCGUGGGAAACUACCUUAUAGUACGGAAUAGCCUCGGGAAACUGGGAUUAAUACCGCAUACGCCCUUCGGAGGAAAGAUUUAUCGCUAUAAGAUGUGCCCGCGUCAGAUUAGCUAGUUGGUGGGGUAAUAGCCUACCAAGGCAACGAUCUGUAGCUGGUCUGAGAGGACGAUCAGCCACACUGGGACUGAGACACGGCCCAGACUCCUACGGGAGGCAGCAGUGGGGAAUAUUGGACAAUGGACGAAAGUCUGAUCCAGCAAUGCCGCGUGAAUGAUGAAGGCCUUAGGGUUGUAAAGUUCUUUUAGUGGGGAAGAUAAUGACGGUACCCACAGAAAAAGCACCGGCUAACUUCGUGCCAGCCGCCGCGGUAA
RNAcentral lists this ribosomal RNA (460 nucleotides) under uncultured bacterium. RNAcentral's name for it is "partial 16S ribosomal RNA". It matches the Rfam family "Bacterial small subunit ribosomal RNA", at positions 29 to 523 of the family's 1533-position model. The record is from RNAcentral.